AAGAGAAGGUAUUGUAUGCAACAACUAUCGGUGCCUGUUCAUAGAACCUAAAGAACAUUUGGGCUCAGUCAGGAAACCUAGGCGAAAACAGGAGAAUCUAGAACAGAGUCUGCAAUUAUAUCUACACAUUACAGAAGCUGAGAAAGAGUAAAAGGACUAUAACAUUGCAGUGAUGUUACUGUACAUUACAUGGGAGAAAAACCUUUUGAAAUAGCAAACAAUCCCCUUAAUAUCCAAGCCAAGCGUCUCAAAUUCAAAGUAUUACAACUGCUACACAAGGACUAGUUUGUUAGCAUGAGGUUGCAACACUAAAGCUUUUUCAUAUAUGGAUACAAAAGUCGGCAGUGAGUUUAACAUGAAGGGAUCACGCUGAACCAUUAAACAUCCAUUUAUUAAAAACAUGAUACAUAAAGCCCUUUGCUGUGAAGUAGAGAUCCUUGUAAAAGUGCCAUUUCAUUUUAGCCACUCAGCUGGCAGCAUUUUUCAUUAAUCAAAAGUGAUAUUUGGUUUUACAGAAUUACCAGGCUGAUAUGUAAUGUUGUUUCAAAAUCAUAUUUAGGUUGAUGUAAUCUAGGAAAACAUCCUGCCAAGAGCUAUCCAAAUCCUGUUUUUCAUUUUCUUCCCUGGCCUUGCUAAGGAGAUAAAGUUUUCUUCUUUUCAAACUUUUCCUUGCUUGCUUUCCCUUCUAAAGGAGAAUUUUGGGGUUAAGCUACACGAUCCUAAUCCAAAUACAUCUUUCCAGAGAAAAGGAAACACCAGCUCAACCAUCUGGCAUCAAAUUAGGCACCUUCCCAUCAUCAAAUAUUCUUCUCAGGAAACGAAAUUGUCAACUUGGCCAUAAAACAUUACAAACAUUUACAGAGCCAACAAAAGCUGGAAUUGAUAACAGGGGAACACAGACUCUGGGAACAAGGGAUACUUUGACGAAUCCCACUGUAUAACAGCAACUCUAAAAAGAAACUUUAUUCACGCAAUAUUGCCUUGUUCGUCCAAAGCUCCCACUGUCUUUGUAUUCCUAUUCCACUACCUAGAAAUAAAAGUCAAGGAAUAUA
Long non-coding RNA from Pantherophis guttatus, 1052 nucleotides. RefSeq lists it as uncharacterized. The record is from RefSeq and is a predicted model, not a curated record. NCBI's taxonomy places the organism in Eukaryota, Metazoa, Chordata, Lepidosauria, Squamata, Colubridae.